Molecule: unclassified non-coding RNA, 1116 nt
Filed under: Bactrocera tryoni
Lineage: Eukaryota; Metazoa; Arthropoda; Insecta; Diptera; Tephritidae
Description: uncharacterized LOC120772814, transcript variant X3
Source: RNAcentral
CGUAGUUCAGUAUCGUGUGAACUGUUGUAGGCGUCGAAUCGCGCGGCCGGCGUGGCGUAUACGUGAUAAUUCGAUAAUCUAAGCUAAGCUCUCUCUCUAGUAGUUUACCCGCACUAUUAUCCUGCGUGGCACUAUGAUUUCUCACUCUUCCACAUAUACAAAACUAGCCAUUUUAUUGCUAUAUCUAUUACAAACGAUCCACUGUCGGCCACAAGACACGGAGGCAAACGGCUCCCCGAUUAAUCCACUGCGUAAUGGUCGUUACAUACCAGAGUUGCAUGGCGCUGACCGUGGCAAAUAUAUACCCGACGAAAGCGGUAAAUAUCAUCAUGUUAAAGUGCCCUAUAACGGUGGCUAUGGAGAUCGUGGCCAAAUGUAUGUUCACGAUGCUCGUGGGCUGCCGCUACAUCAAUUCGGCACGCUCAAUGGCUUCCAACUGGGACCGAAGGAUCAUUUGCGCUUCUCUGUGGAUUUCAAUUUCGACGGCAGUGGUUGGCAAAUCGUGCAGUUCGAGUGGAUAAACGACGAUGACGUCAAAAAACAUUACGACUACAAGUAUGAAAAUCAACUAUGGCCAUCGGAUUAUGAUGUGAAUGCUGAUGUGAAUGCUGAUGCGAAUGCUGAUGUGGAAGCGACUGCGACAGAGAAGCCAGAGGAAGGAGAUACGACUAAUGUGCACGUCUCGGGCGAGUACCAAGAUGAUAUCUAUAAUGUGAAAUAUACGAAUGACAAUGAGCUAAAUGCUCCGAGUCAAUUCAACAUUCAAGCGACUAUAAGUGAUGUACUCGAUUACGUUCAGACAAAUGUGUUACCAACACUAACGUAAAAGGCGACGAUUACUAUGGUCCAAGAAAUACUAUUUUUCUACUACUAAUUUUAUAUCACUCUGCUUUUCAUCGUUAUCAUCGAGCUACUUUACUUUUCUUCAAUUGGAUAGUCGAUUUGGAGACUUUCUAUGUGAACAAACAUCAUUUAUUGUUAUUGUAAACGAACCUUCUGACAUAAUUUCUGAACAAAAAACCAUUUAGAACAACUAUAAUGCUUCCAAAACUUUAUUGCCUCUGGAAAAUGUUCAUCUGAAAGUUUCUGCUCUAAAUUUUUUGUAUUAUUUGUAUU